AUGUGGUCCAGUCCAAGUCCUUACUGCAGCAGCUUCGUCGCUUCUUCCCUCUCUCUCUCUCUCUCUCUCUCUCUCUCUCUAAACUGUUCUUCUUCGUCACCGAUGGAAGACUUCUGGUUGGGCUUUUCCGUCUGCAUGUGACCGAAUUAGGGAUGUGGUUGUGAGUAUCUUAAAUAUCUUAAUCUUCGAGUUGGGAAGAAAUGGUUUCAGAAUCUUGGUUUCGCAGUCUGUGGAAGCCUCCAAGGAAGCGUGAGUCUAGCACGCAGAAGGUCGUAAUUGGAGUAUUGGCAUUUGAAAUUGCUACCUUGAUGUCCAAGUUGGUUCACCUAUGGCAGUCCUUGAGCGAUAAGCAAGUCAGGAGGCUGAGAGAAGAGAUAAACAGUUCAUUGGGCAUAAAGAAGCUUGUGUCAGAUAACGACGAGCAUAUAGUUCGUUUGAUAUAUGCAGAGAUGACCGAGAGUUUAGCUCAUGUGGCUAAAUCUGUUGCCAGACUGGGAAAGAAAUGCAGUGAUCCUAGUUUAAAAAACUUCGAGCAUAUUUUUGAUGAUUUAAUUCAAAUUGGAGCCGAUCCCUAUGGUUGGAUAUACUCAUGGAAGAAGAUGGAAAAUAAGGUGAAGAAGAUGGAGACAUUUAUUUCUGUCAAUGCAAAUUUGUAUCAAGAGAUGGAGAUGCUUGCAGAUCUUGAGCAAACGUUGAGGAGAAUGAAGGUUAAUGAGGAAUCGGAUGUAAUCAAUCUAGUCGAGUUUCAAAAGAAGGUUGCAUGGAAACAGCAGGAGGUGAAAAAUUUGCGAGAGAUGUCACUUUGGAAAAGGACCUAUGAUUACUCAAUUCUUCUGCUAGCUAGAUCCCUAGCCACAAUAUUCAGUAGGAUCAAACAUGUAUUUGGAAUUGAGCAGAGUGAAGAUAAUGGUGAAAUGAAUGAUUCACGAGAUAUGAAUUCUGACUAUAUUGCACGUAGUCAAUCAGUUUCUUCAUUAAUGCAAUCCAUGGUUCAUCCUUCAGAGCACAACGGUCUUACUAAAUUUGCUUCGGGUCCCCUGAAGAGGUUUACAACUAAAUCAGGGCCAAUUUCAAAAACUGCUAAAGCCAAUAAUUUCUAUUCAGGUCCUCUUGGUAGCUCUAUUACAAAAUCAGGUCCUAUUUCAGGUCCUGUUUCUGGAACCAACAGAAACUUCAACUCUUAUUCAGGUCCUCUCACAAGUUCAACGAUGAGAUCAGGUCCAAUUUCUGGAGUACACAACAAAACCAAUCAGAAGAAUUGGCUUGUCGGUGGCUACUCUUCCAUAUUUAAUGGGAAGAAAUCUCAUCAGAAACCAAACAGACUAACUCAAGUUGGACCUUUUAAAGGAUGCAUGAUAUCUGGCACUAGUUCUCCAGUAGCGAAUUGCCACAUCAGUUCAAAUGGGAUUCAUACAGAGCUUCUCAAUGGAACCAAAGAUGCUGGAAAGAUUGUUGAUCCUUGCAACAAAACCAUUCCUUGCAAACAGUUGCUCGGUGCCAAGCGCCGAUUAUUGGAUGCCCCACCCGAGACUCUAGGUGCUGCUGCUUUGGCACUGCACUAUGCAAAUGUCAUUAUUGUAAUUGAGAAGCUUGCUGCAUCUCCUCAUUUGAUUGGCCUGGAUGCUAGAGAUGAUCUCUACAAUAUGCUGCCCGCCAAAGUUCGAGCUAGCCUUAGGGCAUCCCUAAAGCCAUAUGCCAAGAGCUUGUCUUCAUCUGCUUAUGACACAGGUCUUGCAGGAGAGUGGAGUGAGGCAAUAACUGGGAUACUAGAAUGGCUUGCUCCACUGGCUCACAACAUGGUUAGAUGGCAAUCUGAACGUAGUUUUGAACAACAGAAUUUUGUUUCCAGGACUAAUAUGCUUCUUGUACAAACCCUUUUCUUUGCAAAUCAAGAAAAGACUGAAGCAAUCAUCACCGAACUUCUUGUUGGCCUGAAUUACCUAUGGAGGUUUGGUAGGGAACUCAAUGCAAAAGCUCUCAAUGAGUGUGCCAGCAGUAGAAUACAUGAUGAAUAUUUGGAUAUCGUUGGGUAACAUUCUUUUCCAUAUUAUUGGUAUUGCCAACUCUGAAUUGCAGCGCAAUCGUUCAACAACAUGAGGCCUCCUCAGUUCUAUACGACGGAUCUCGACCACUGCAAGCGGCACAAGAGAGGGAGAGAGAGCCCUGGCUACACAGUUGACGCCAAUCGUCAUUAUUGAUGAGCUAGGUUGGCCAGAAAUGAGCUCUGGUUCUUGCCGCGGCCACCCUUCAUGGAUUUCACUAUAUGUUUGGCUGCCAUUGAAUUGACUUCUUGGUAUAUUUCAAUUUAUUGGAUCCUUCUGCCACUGCUCGCUUUAAUUCUCAUCCUUAUCCACAUGUAUUCUUUGAGUUUUCUUUGGGAGCGGAGGUUUUCAGCGCCUUAAUCAGUCGAGUUAAGUUUAAGUUAGCAUCUUCAAUGUGGAAGGUAUGGGUGGUUUGACUUGGUCGACUUUUCUUUUUUCUUUUUCCUUCUCUCUCCCUCUCCAUUUGACUGAUAAUUUUCUCCUAGCUAGAAGCUUAUUUUAGGAUCAGUCCUUUUUUUUUACCUCUUUUUUGAAUAACACCACCACAAUCUGAAUGCUGGGCUCUGUGGUCCUUUUCACCCAUGGAAAAUAGGCCAUCACAAGUCUCAAUCUUGAGACUUGCCUUCCACUUGUGGUGUGAGUGGUGAAAUGAAUCAGCACCCUUUAAGAUGGAACAAUAGAAGGAAAGAUAUGGAUCUUGGGAUUUUUCAUCAUUGCACCACCACAAUUAUCCACCAUUUGGAAGACAAUAAAAGUAUUAGAACCUCCUCUUUGAA
This is a non-coding RNA of Momordica charantia (bitter melon), 2818 nucleotides long. The record is from RefSeq and is a predicted model, not a curated record. Lineage: Eukaryota; Viridiplantae; Streptophyta; Magnoliopsida; Cucurbitales; Cucurbitaceae.